RNAcentral lists this ribosomal RNA (253 nucleotides) under uncultured bacterium. RNAcentral's name for it is "partial 16S ribosomal RNA". It matches the Rfam family "Bacterial small subunit ribosomal RNA", at positions 524 to 776 of the family's 1533-position model. The record is from RNAcentral.
UACGUAGGGUGCAAGCGUUGUUCGGAAUUAUUGGGCGUAAAGCGCGUGUAGGCGGCCUAGCAAGUCGGGUGUGAAAGCCCUCAGCUCAACUGAGGAAGUGCGCCCGAAACUGCUGGGCUUGAGUGCCGGAGAGGGUAGCGGAAUUCCCCAAGUAGAGGUGAAAUUCGUAGAUAUGGGGAGGAACACCGGCGGCGAAGGCGGCUACCUGGACGGCAACUGACGCUGAGACGCGAAAGCGUGGGGAGCAAACAGG